RNAcentral lists this ribosomal RNA (440 nucleotides) under uncultured bacterium. Its description in RNAcentral is "partial 16S ribosomal RNA". It matches the Rfam family "Bacterial small subunit ribosomal RNA", at positions 338 to 795 of the family's 1533-position model. The record is from RNAcentral.
CCUACGGGUGGCAGCAGUGGGGGAUAUUGCACAAUGGGGGAAACCCUGAUGCAGCGACGCCGCGUGGGUGAAGAAGCGCCUCGGCGCGUAAAGCUCUGUCAGCAGGGAAGAAAAUGACGGUACCUGCAGAAGAAGCCCCGGCUAACUACGUGCCAGCAGCCGCGGUAAUACGUAGGGGGCAAGCGUUAUCCGGAUUUACUGGGUGUAAAGGGGGCGCAGACGGCGAUGCAAGCCAGGAGUGAAAGCCCGGGGCCCAACCCCGGGACUGCUCUUGGAACUGCGUGGCUGGAGUGCAGGAGGGGCAGGCGGAAUUCCUGGUGUAGCGGUGAAAUGCGUAGAUAUCAGGAGGAACACCGGUGGCGAAGGCGGCUUGCUGGGCUUCAACUGACGUUGAGGCCCGAAAGCGUGGGGAGCAAACAGGAUUAGAUACCCUUGUAGUC